AGAGUUUGAUCAUGGCUCAGGAUGAACGCUAGCGACAGGCUUAACACAUGCAAGUCGAGGGGCAGCAUGAUUUGUAGCAAUACAGAUUGAUGGCGACCGGCGCACGGGUGAGUAACGCGUAGUGCAACUUACCUAUCAGAGGGGGAUAGCCCGGCGAAAGUCGGAUUAAUACCCCAUAAAACAGGGGGUCCCGCAUGGGAAUAUUUGUUAAAGAUUCAUCGCUGAUAGAUAGGCAUGCGUUUCAUUAGGCAGUUGGCGGGGUAACGGCCCACCAAACCGACGAUGGAUAGGGGUUCUGAGAGGAAGGUCCCCCACAUUGGUACUGAGACACGGACCAAACUCCUACGGGAGGCAGCA
This 357-nucleotide ribosomal RNA is filed under the name uncultured bacterium. RNAcentral describes it as "bacterial SSU rRNA". It matches the Rfam family "Bacterial small subunit ribosomal RNA", at positions 8 to 353 of the family's 1533-position model. The record is from RNAcentral.